This 600-nucleotide ribosomal RNA is filed under the name Pseudomonas putida. RNAcentral's name for it is "bacterial SSU rRNA". It matches the Rfam family "Bacterial small subunit ribosomal RNA", at positions 92 to 689 of the family's 1533-position model. Lineage: Bacteria; Pseudomonadati; Pseudomonadota; Gammaproteobacteria; Pseudomonadales; Pseudomonadaceae. The record is from RNAcentral.
CUGUCCGCGGAGGGUGAAAAAGCCUAGGAAUCUGCCUGGUAGUGGGGGACAACGUUUCGAAAGGAACGCUAAUACCGCAUACGUCCUACGGGAGAAAGCAGGGGACCUUCGGGCCUUGCGCUAUCAGAUGAGCCUAGGUCGGAUUAGCUAGUUGGUGGGGUAAUGGCUCACCAAGGCGACGAUCCGUAACUGGUCUGAGAGGAUGAUCAGUCACACUGGAACUGAGACACGGUCCAGACUCCUACGGGAGGCAGCAGUGGGGAAUAUUGGACAAUGGGCGAAAGCCUGAUCCAGCCAUGCCGCGUGUGUGAAGAAGGUCUUCGGAUUGUAAAGCACUUUAAGUUGGGAGGAAGGGCAGUAAGCUAAUACCUUGCUGUUUUGACGUUACCGACAGAAUAAGCACCGGCUAACUCUGUGCCAGCAGCCGCGGUAAUACAGAGGGUGCAAGCGUUAAUCGGAAUUACUGGGCGUAAAGCGCGCGUAGGUGGUUUGUUAAGUUGGAUGUGAAAGCCCCGGGCUCAACCUGGGGAACUGCAUCCAAAACUGGCAAGCUAGAGUACGGUAGAGGGUGGUGGAAUUUCCUGUGUAGCGGUGAAAUGC